This is a non-coding RNA of Oryza nivara, 190 nucleotides long. The record is from Rfam. Lineage: Eukaryota; Viridiplantae; Streptophyta; Magnoliopsida; Poales; Poaceae.
AAAGACUGAAUUUUUUGGUUUUCGUGUCCAACGUUUGACCGUCUGUCUUAUAUAAAUUUUUUUAUAAUUAAUAUUUUUAUUAUUGUUAGAUGAUAAAACAUAAAUAAUAUUUUAUGCAUAACUUAUUUUUUAAAAUUUUUUUAUAUUUUUUUCAAAUAAGACGAACGGUCAAACGAUAGACAUGGAAACC